GAUGAACGCUGGCGGCGUGCCUAAUACAUGCAAGUCGAGCGAACAGACGAGGAGCUUGCUCCUCUGACGUUAGCGGCGGACGGGUGAGUAACACGUGGAUAACCUACCUAUAAGACUGGGAUAACUUCGGGAAACCGGAGCUAAUACCGGAUAAUAUAUUGAACCGCAUGGUUCAAUAGUGAAAGACGGUUUUGCUGUCACUUAUAGAUGGAUCCGCGCCGCAUCAGCUAGUUGGUAAGGUAACGGCUUACCAAGGCAACGAUGCGUAGCCGACCUGAGAGGGUGAUCGGCCACACUGGAACUGAGACACGGUCCAGACUCCUACGGGAGGCAGCAGUAGGGAAUCUUCCGCAAUGGGCGAAAGCUUGACGGAGCAACGCCGCGUGAGUGAUGAAGGUCUUCGGAUCGUAAAACUCUGUUAUUAGGGAAGAACAAAUGUGUAAGUAACUAUGCACGUCUUGACGGUACCUAAUCAGAAAGCCACGGCUAACUACGUG
RNAcentral lists this ribosomal RNA (497 nucleotides) under uncultured bacterium. RNAcentral describes it as "partial 16S ribosomal RNA". It matches the Rfam family "Bacterial small subunit ribosomal RNA", at positions 28 to 507 of the family's 1533-position model. The record is from RNAcentral.